RNAcentral lists this ribosomal RNA (501 nucleotides) under uncultured bacterium. RNAcentral describes it as "partial 16S ribosomal RNA". It matches the Rfam family "Bacterial small subunit ribosomal RNA", at positions 30 to 523 of the family's 1533-position model. The record is from RNAcentral.
AUUGAACGCUGGCGGCAGGCUUAACACAUGCAAGUCGAGCGGGGGAAGGUAGCUUGCUACCGGACCUAGCGGCGGACGGGUGAGUAAUGCUUAGGAAUCUGCCUAUUAGUGGGGGACAACAUCUCGAAAGGGAUGCUAAUACCGCAUACGUCCUACGGGAGAAAGCAGGGGAUCUUCGGACCUUGCGCUAAUAGAUGAGCCUAAGUCGGAUGAGCUAGUUGGUGGGGUAAAGGCCUACCAAGGCGACGAUCUGUAGCGGGUCUGAGAGGAUGGUCCGCCAAACUGGGACUGAGCAGCGGCCCAGACUUCUACGGGAGGCAGCAGUGGGGAAUAUUGGACAAUGGGGGGAACCCUGAUCCAGCCAUGCCGCGUGUGUGAAGAAGGCCUUAUGGUUGUAAAGCACUUUAAGCGAGGAGGAGGCUACUUUAGUUAAUACCUAGAGAUAGUGGACGUUACUCGCAGAAUAAGCACCGGCUAACUCUGUGCCAGCAGCCGCCGUAA